Molecule: non-coding RNA, 92 nt
Filed under: Clostridium polynesiense
Lineage: Bacteria; Bacillati; Bacillota; Clostridia; Eubacteriales; Clostridiaceae
Description: Purine riboswitch
Rfam family: Purine riboswitch aptamer
About the family: Riboswitches are metabolite binding domains within certain messenger RNAs that serve as precision sensors for their corresponding targets. Allosteric rearrangement of mRNA structure is mediated by ligand binding, and this results in modulation of gene expression. A class of riboswitches that selectively recognises guanine and becomes saturated at concentrations as low as 5 nM.
Source: RNAcentral
AAUAGUAACUUUAACGCUCGUAUAUCCCCUGAAUAUGGCAGGGAGUCUCUACCGGAAACCGUUAAUUUCCGACUAUGGGUGAAACUUUAAUA